GUCUACGGCCAUGCCACCCUGGACAUGCCCGAUCCUGGCUGAUCUCAGAAGCUAAGCAGGGUUGGGCCUGGUUAGUACUUACUUGUAUGAGAGACCACCUAGGAAGACCAGGUGCUGUAGGCA
RNAcentral lists this ribosomal RNA (123 nucleotides) under Pteropus alecto (black flying fox). Lineage: Eukaryota; Metazoa; Chordata; Mammalia; Chiroptera; Pteropodidae. The record is from RNAcentral.